GACGAACGCUGGCGGCGUGCUUAACACAUGCAAGUCGAACGGAAAGGCCCUGCUUUUGUGGGGUGCUCGAGUGGCGAACGGGUGAGUAACACGUGAGUAACCUGCCCUUGACUUUGGGAUAACUUCAGGAAACUGGGGCUAAUACCGGAUAGGAGCUCCUGCUGCAUGGUGGGGGUUGGAAAGUUUCGGCGGUUGGGGAUGGACUCGCGGCUUAUCAGCUUGUUGGUGGGGUAGUGGCUUACCAAGGCUUUGACGGGUAGCCGGCCUGAGAGGGUGACCGGCCACAUUGGGACUGAGAUGAGGCCCAGACUCCUACGGGAGGCAGCAGUGGGGAAUAUUGCACAAUGGGCGGAAGCCUGAUGCAGCAACGCCGCGUGCGGGAUGACGGCCUUCGGGUUGUAAAGCGCUUUCGCCUGUGACGAAGCGUGAGUGACGGUAAUGGGUAAAGAAGCACCGGCUAACUACGUG
RNAcentral lists this ribosomal RNA (468 nucleotides) under uncultured bacterium. RNAcentral describes it as "partial 16S ribosomal RNA". It matches the Rfam family "Bacterial small subunit ribosomal RNA", at positions 28 to 507 of the family's 1533-position model. The record is from RNAcentral.